GAAUUACAUGAUUACCUGAAAUUUUUGCCUAAUCUAUAGGAUGCUUUUUUUAAUUUGGAAAGUAGUUUCUUUCCUGUGCAGAAAGUUUUCUGGUUGAUGUAGUCCAUGUUUAUUUUUGCGUUUUAUGCAUGUAGUUUUGGUCACCCAUAUAAGAAAAUACUUAUCAGUGACAAAGCAUUUAAUUGUCAGUGAGGUUUUUCUUCCAGGGUGUUUGUUUCUUUUUCUCUUUGCAACCGUGAGCAGAGAUUCAAGUGACCCAGAAUAUAUGCUCAACCUGUGUUUUAGUUAAAAACAUUUUGUCGUUUAUGAUCUUUUGUUCAGGUCUUCGGGGUUUUUUUUGUUUGUUUUUUGACGGGGGGGGUGGGGGGUUGAUUUUCAUAUAUCAUGUAAAAUCAGGGUCCUGUUUCUCUCUUCUGCAUCCAGAUAUCAUAUUUCUCAAAGGUAUUCAUUGAGCAGACUCUGCCUUCCACAUUGUGGUGGUCUUUAUCAAACUCAUUACAUUUAACAUAAUGUUUUCCAGGUUCAUCUGGGUUGCUCCACAUGACACUGUUUCAUCAUUUCGGUGGCUGAAGAAUAUUCCCUAGUGUAUGCAUACGAGAGUGUGAUCCCUUUAUCUGUGGAUGAACAGGAGAUGAAGAUGUUUUCAGUCUGCAUGCCUGAGAUCGUGUGGAAUGGGACUUUGUCUACCAGGCUCAUUCGUUGGACCUGAUGUUCUCCAGGUUUCUUCAUGAGGCUGCAGAUGGCAGGAUUUCCCAGAGCUUUAUGGCUGGAACAUACUCCGUGGUGUUUCUGUACAGCAAUUUCUUCAUCCCUGCAGCUGUGCGUGGACAGGUUCAACAAUAUGGCUCCAAAUGAUGAAAUUUCAUUCUGGUUUUCUGGCUGAAGACGAUUCUGUUUGUGUACAUCCACCAAGUAUUCCUUCAUCUGCAGGUUUUUCCAUGUGGCUGCAAGUGACGAGAUUUCCCCCAUUUCUAUGAUUGAAGAAUAUUCUACUCUGGAUGUAUAUUGCAGUUUCCUCGUCCCUUCAUCAAUGGAUGAACAGGUAGGUGCAUUUCCUAUCUUGGCUGUCGUGAGUACUGCAGUACAGAGGGCAAGGCAGGUAUCUCUUCCACAUAGGAAUGGAAUGAUGGCUAGAUGAGAUGGCGUUUUUACUUUGUUUGAGGCACUUCCAGCUGUUUUUCCUAGUGUGUGUAGACAUUGACAUUCCCACCAAUAGUGUAUGAGAAGAGUUUCCCCUUCUGAAAGUCUAUACUAGUUGUUUCCAUUGAACACUUUUAUUUCUGUUUUAGGGAACAUUCAAUCUAUGUGGAUGGAAGCUGUAUCUCAGUGCGGUUUUCCUUGACGUUCUCGUGAGGAUUAGCGCUUUUGAGAGACUUUUCUUUUCCCUGUGAGUCAGUUUGACAUCUGCUUUGCAGACACGUCUAUUCAGGUCCUUUGCCCAGACUUAGCUUGGGUGUUUGUUUCUUUUUCUGUUUUUGUUUCCCCCACACGGUAGUGUUAGAUUCUUGCACAUAUUUUAUAACGACCCCUUUCAAAGACAGGAUUUUCCCUAGUUUUCUUUCAGUCUGUGAGGCACCUUCUCUUCUGUUCAUUGUUUCCUCUUCACAGCAUAAGAUCCGAUGUUUUCCGUAGUUCCACGUGUUUCCAUAUUAGUGGUGACUUCACUAUGCAGUUAAAGACAGUGAAAAAGAUUGCCAAUCUAUGGGAUCGUCUAUGGUUUUUUCCUUCUAAUUUUUCUUUUUCUAUUUCACAUUUUGCAACUUGUGUGCAUAGAUUAGUCUUCUAAACUAUGUGCUUACCCUUUGUUUUCUGAGGGAAGUAAAUGGUUUCAAGAUUGACUUUAGGCCUUCAAUGUAAUUUACAUCGAUUUUUGUCCUAUUUCACUGUUUUUCAUGUGGUUAUCCAGUUUGCUCAAAAUCAUUUAUUAUUUUCCCAUUGUGUCUUUUUGUGUUGUGUUGAAAAAUGCGUUCAGUGUACAUUCAUUUGGGUGGCAUGUGGGACCCCCUCAUUCUGUCCAUUGGGUAGCCUUUCUGUUUUUAUGCCAGAGGCAGGUUGUUUGGAUAAAUAAAGGUUUUAGUUGCUUUAUCAUUAUGCCCACUUAGUACCUUUAGUUUCUUGCAUAUGUUAGAUAACAGUUCUUUUCGGAUACGUGAUUUUCUAUAAUUUUAUCCCAAUCUGUAGGAUCCCUUUUCUUUGGGUUCAUUGUUUUUUCCUUGUUUAUAAAUUUUAAAAUUGUCCUUUGGGAGCAGAUGGAGCUCUGAACAAAUUGUGCCUGGAGCUCAGAGUAGAUGGAGGAAGAUGGAGCUCAGAGUAGAUGGAGCAAGAUGAAGCUCAGAGUAGAUGGUGCUUAGAAUAAGAUGGAGCAGCAAGCAUAUGGUGCUCAGGGCAAGAUGGAGCUUCAGUGAUUGUAGCUCAGAACAGAAGGAGCUCGCGGAAGAUGUUGCUCCCAGUAAGAUGGAGCUCCAAGCAGAUGGUGCUCAGAGUAAGAAGGACCUAAGAAUGAUUAGAACUCUGAGAAAGAUAAUGCUCUCUGCUGAUGGUGCUUAGAGAGAGAUGGAGCUCAGGGUGAUUGCUCUGAGAGAUUGGAGCUCUGAGCAGAUGGAGCUCAGAGCAGAUGGUGCUCAGGGCAAAAUGGACCUCAAAGUGAUUGGCACUCCAAAGAAGAUGGUUCUCUGAGCAGAUGGUGCUCAGAGCAAGAUGGAGCUAAAUGCAGAUGAUGCUCAGGGCAAAAUGAAGCUCAGAGAGAUUGGAACUUCAAAGAAUGUGGAUCUCAGAGCACAUGGUGCUCAGGGCAAGAUGGAGCUCAACAAGCUGGAGAUCAGAGCAGAUGGAAGUCCGGGCAAGAUGGAACUCGGAGACAAUGUUGCUCACGGUAAGAUGGAGUGCAAAGUGAUUGGAGCUCCUAAGAUGUUGGAUCUCGGAGAAGAUGAUGCUCAGGGCAAGAUGGAACUUAGAGUGAGUAGAGCUCCAAGCAAGAUGGAGCUGGGAGCAGAUGCUGCUCAGAGCAGGAUGGAGGUUGGAGUGAUAGGAGUCCUGAGCAAGAUGGAGCUUGGAGCAAAUGGAGCUCAGAGUAGACGGAGCUCCGAGCAGACGGUGUUCUGAGUAGAUGGUGCUCAGAGCAAGGGAGCUCAGAGUGAUUAGACCUCCAGACAAGAUGGAGCUCGGAGCAGAUGGAGCUCUGAGCAAGAUAGAGCUCGGAGCAGAUGCUACUCAGCAAGAUGGAGCUCAGAGCAGAUGGAGCUCCAAGCAAGAUGGAGCCCCGUGAAGAUGGUGUUAAAGGAAAGACAGAGCUCAAAGUGAUUUGACCUCUCAGCAAGAUACAGCACUUGGAGCAGAUAGAGCUCUGAGCAAGAUGGAAUUUGGAGCAGUUGAAGCUCUAAGAAGAUGGAGCUUGGAGCAGAUGGAGCUCUGAGCAAGAUGGAGCUCGGAGUGAUUGGAGCUCUGAGCAAGAUGGAACUCGGAGCAGUUGAAGCUCUAAGAAGAUGGUGCUCUGAGCAAGAUGGAGCUUGGAGCAGAUGGAGCUCAGACUUAUUUGAGCUCUGAGUAAGAUGGAGCUCAAAGCAAGAUGGAAGUUGGAGCAGACGUUGCUUGGAGUAUGAUGGAGCUCGGAGAAGUUGGAGCUCUAAGCAGAUGGAACUGUAAGGAAGAGAGAGCUCAGAGCAGAUGGAACUCAGAGCAGAUGAAGCUCCAAGCAAUAUGGUGCUUCAGUCAAGAUUUAGCAUGGAUUUAGCAGAUGGUACUUGCAGCAGAUCGCACUACUGCACUCCAGCUUGGGCCACUGAGCAAAUUUUUUCUCAAAAAAAAAAAAAAAAAAAAACAGUCUCAAAAAAAAAAAAAAAAAAAAAAAACUUAAA
Cebus imitator (Panamanian white-faced capuchin) is the source of this 3854-nucleotide long non-coding RNA. RefSeq lists it as uncharacterized. Lineage: Eukaryota; Metazoa; Chordata; Mammalia; Primates; Cebidae. The record is from RefSeq and is a predicted model, not a curated record. The transcript has 5 exons.